UGAGGAAUAUUGGUCAAUGGGCGCUAGCCUGAACCAGCCAAGUAGCGUGCAGGACGACGGCCCUAUGGGUUGUAAACUGCUUUUAUGCGGGGAUAAAGUCACCCACGUGUGGGUGUUUGCAGGUAUCGCAUGAAUAAGGACCGGCUAAUUCCGUGCCAGCAGCCGCGGUAAUACGGAAGGUCCGGGCGUUAUCCGGAUUUAUUGGGCGUAAAGCGCGUCUAGGUGGUUAUAUAAGUCUGAUGUGAAAAUGCAGGGCUCAACUCUGUAUUGCGUUGGAAACUGUAUAACUAGAGUACUGGAGAGGUAAGCGGAACUACAAGUGUAGAGGUGAAAUUCGUAGAUAUUUGUAGGAAUGCCGAUGGGGAAGCCAGCUUACUGGACAGAUACUGACGCUGAAGCGCGAAAGCGUGGGUAGCAAACAGG
This 423-nucleotide ribosomal RNA is filed under the name Verrucomicrobiota bacterium. RNAcentral's name for it is "Verrucomicrobia bacterium partial 16S ribosomal RNA". It matches the Rfam family "Bacterial small subunit ribosomal RNA", at positions 355 to 776 of the family's 1533-position model. The record is from RNAcentral. Lineage: Bacteria; Pseudomonadati; Verrucomicrobiota.